AUCUUAUCAAGAGUGGUGGAGGGACUGGCCCUGUGAAACCCGACAACCGGCAUUAAAGAGAAAUUAUUGUGAAACUUAAAUUAUACAUUAUAAAAGGAUGGAAUUGGUAGAGAUUUUUAUGAUGUAUAAGUUAAUAGUUGAAUUAGUUUCACUAUUGUAUGCACGGUGUUAAUUCCUGCAAAGUAAUUUGGAAGAUAAGAA
RNAcentral lists this non-coding RNA (201 nucleotides) under Clostridium sp. RNAcentral describes it as "SAM-I sequence". It matches the Rfam family "SAM riboswitch aptamer (S box leader)". From Rfam's summary of the family: The SAM riboswitch is found upstream of a number of genes which code for proteins involved in methionine or cysteine biosynthesis in Gram-positive bacteria. The SAM riboswitch acts at the level of transcription termination control. Lineage: Bacteria; Bacillati; Bacillota; Clostridia; Eubacteriales; Clostridiaceae. The record is from RNAcentral.